CAACCCGCCUCCUGGUGGGUGUACUCUUCUGCGGUCAGGCCAGCAUCAGUUCGAGCGGUCGGAUAAAGGCGCCGGGAAUGUAGCUCCUCUCGGGGAGUGUUAUAGCCCGGCGUGGAAUGCGACCUGCUCGGACUGAGGAUCUCGCUUCGGCUAGGAUGCUGGCGUAAUGGUUGUAAGCGGCCCGUCUUGAAACACGGACCAAGGAGUCUAACAUCUAUGCGAGUGUUUGGGUGUCAAACCCAUGCGCGUAAUGAAAGUGAACGGAGGUGGGAACCCGCAAGGGCGCACCAUCGACCGAUCCUGAUGUCUUCGGAUGGAUUUGAGUAUGAGCAUAGCUGUUGGGACCCGAAAGAUGGUGAACUAUGCCUGAAUAGGGUGAAGUCAGAGGAAACUCUGAUGGAGGCUCGCAGCGGUUCUGACGUGCAAAUCGAUCGUCAAAUUUGGGUAUA
Molecule: ribosomal RNA, 449 nt
Filed under: Septorioides strobi
Lineage: Eukaryota; Fungi; Ascomycota; Dothideomycetes; Botryosphaeriales; Septorioideaceae
Description: eukaryotic LSU rRNA
Rfam family: Eukaryotic large subunit ribosomal RNA
Source: RNAcentral